This 490-nucleotide ribosomal RNA is filed under the name uncultured bacterium. Its description in RNAcentral is "partial 16S ribosomal RNA". It matches the Rfam family "Bacterial small subunit ribosomal RNA", at positions 30 to 507 of the family's 1533-position model. The record is from RNAcentral.
AUUGAACGCUGGCGGCAGGCCUAACACAUGCAAGUCGAACGGUAACAGGAAACAGCUUGCUGUUUCGCUGACGAGUGGCGAACGGGUGAGUAAUGUCUGGGAAACUGCCUGAUGGAGGGGGAUAACUACUGGAAACGGUAGCUAAUACCGCAUAACGUCGCAAGACCAAAGAGGGGGACCUUCGGGCCUCUUGCCAUCGGAUGUGCCCAGAUGGGAUUAGCUAGUAGGUGGGGUAACGGCUCACCUAGGCGACGAUCCCUAGCUGGUCUGAGAGGAUGACCAGCCACACUGGAACUGAGACACGGUCCAGACUCCUACGGGAGGCAGCAGUGGGGAAUAUUGCACAAUGGGCGCAAGCCUGAUGCAGCCAUGCCGCGUGUAUGAAGAAGGCCUUCGGGUUGUAAAGUACUUUCAGCGGGGAGGAAGGGAGUAAAGUUAAUACCUUUACUCAUUGACGUUACCCGCAGAAGAAGCACCGGCUAACUCCGUG